Molecule: unclassified non-coding RNA, 392 nt
Filed under: soil metagenome
Description: partial contains 5.8S ribosomal RNA, internal transcribed spacer 2, and large subunit ribosomal RNA
Rfam family: 5.8S ribosomal RNA (bases 1-122)
Source: RNAcentral
GAUGAAGAACGUAGCGUAAUGCGAUACUUGGUGUGAAUUGCAGAAUCCCGUGAACCAUCGAGUCUUUGAACGCAAGUUGCGCCCGAAGCCAUUAGGCCGAGGGCACGCCUGCCUGGGCGUCACACGUCGUUGCCCCCCCCAUCUACUCCUUCGGGAUUGCGGGGGGCGGAUGAUGGCCUCCCGUGCGCCUCGCCGCGCGGUUGGCAUAAAUGCCAAGUCCUCGGCGACGCACGCCACGACAAUCGGUGGUUGCGAAACCUCGGUUGCCCGUCGUGUGCGGUCGUCGCGCAUCGAGGGCUCGAAAAAAUUGCCGAGUUCCGGCUCGGCUUUCAACGCGACCCCAGGUCAGGCGGGGUUACCCGCUGAAUUUAAGCAUAUCAAUAAGCGGAGGA